GGAUGAAUAAUGGGAUCUGGGGUUUUUUAAAUGGGAACUGGGCGAUCUGGGCUUUUUUUUAAAUGGGAACGGGUGAUGGUGGAUGGCGGCGGCGAGAACCGAUUGCAGUGAUGCAGGACAGAAACGGUGUAGCAAGGAUGGCGAUGGAGCAGCGGGCAUGCAAUCUUAGGUCAAUCGGAUCUAGGUGAUGGGUUGGCGCGGGAGAUUCAAGCAGGUUGCGAGACUGGUUCGAGGUGUUGGACAGAACGGCGGCAGAUCGGUGGCUGGUGGUCUGAUGCUUGAUGGUGGUGCAGUGGUGUAGUUCAGAGGUGGGUCGAUCUGGUAGUGGACAGGUUGGUGCGGGUCGAUCUGGUAGGGGAUUAAUGGGAUUUGGGGUUUGAAUAAUGGGAACUGGGUUUUUGCAGCGAGGGGGGGUGGUAAUGGAUCGGGGUUUCAGUGGUGUUUUUUUUUUUUUGGUUCAAGGUU
RNAcentral lists this long non-coding RNA (465 nucleotides) under Malus domestica (apple). RNAcentral's name for it is "long non-coding RNA (MDOM_LNC010239)". The record is from RNAcentral. Lineage: Eukaryota; Viridiplantae; Streptophyta; Magnoliopsida; Rosales; Rosaceae.